This 520-nucleotide ribosomal RNA is filed under the name uncultured Glomus. Its description in RNAcentral is "SSU rRNA". It matches the Rfam family "Eukaryotic small subunit ribosomal RNA", at positions 569 to 1092 of the family's 1831-position model. Lineage: Eukaryota; Fungi; Glomeromycota; Glomeromycetes; Glomerales; Glomeraceae. The record is from RNAcentral.
AGCAGCCGCGGUAAUUCCAGCUCCAAUAGCGUAUAUUAAAGUUGUUGCAGUUAAAAAGCUCGUAGUUGAAUUUCGGGAUCAGUUGGUCGGUCGUGCCUCGGUACGUACUGGUCAAAUUGAUUCCUACCUUCUGACGAACCACGAUGUCAUUAAUUUGGUGUCGCGGGAAAUCAGGACUGUUACUUUAGAAAAAUUAGAGUGUUUAAAGCAGGCUCGCGCUUGAAUACAUUAGCAUGGAAUAAUGAAAUAGGACGUUUGAUUCUAUUUUGUUGGUUUCUAGGAUCGACGUAAUGAUUAAUAGGGAUAGUUGGGGGCAUUAGUGUUCAAUUGUCAGAGGUGAAGUUCUUGGAUUUAUUGAAGACUAACUACUGCGAAAGCAUUUGCCAAGGAUGUUUUCAUUAAUCAAGAACGAAAGUUAGGGGAUCGAAGACGACCAGAUACCGUCGUAGUCUUAACCAUAAACUAUGCCGACUAGGGAUCGGAUGAUGUUAAUUUUUAAUGACUCAUUCGGCGCCUUACG